RNAcentral lists this long non-coding RNA (2472 nucleotides) under Paramuricea clavata. Lineage: Eukaryota; Metazoa; Cnidaria; Anthozoa; Malacalcyonacea; Plexauridae. The record is from RNAcentral.
CUUAAUAUCAAUUUCUCUCCUAAUAAAUCUAUAGAUGCAAAUUACUAUGGCAAGGAAUAGUGCCUCGAGAAAGUUUCUAAAACGGAAAUUUAAUAAUUCCACCCAUAAUCUUAACCUACCUACACCUCCCCCAAUAACAACUCCAUCUGAUGUCCCAUCUAAUAAUCCAAACCCUACAUUACUCAAUACCCUUCCGAACCCUACCUUAAUCAGUUUCACCCAACCCAACCCUACCUAUCCAACCAAAAAACAAAAGAGAAUAGAAGGAAAAAGAAGAUUUACAGACAGAAAAUAAAAGAUAGAAAAAUCAACAAUCAAAAAAAGAAGACUAACAACCACGUCACUUUCCACUGCACCAAAACCUGGAAAAUAAUAUAAAAAACAGUAAAAAUUUAAACAAACAACAAAAAAACAAUCUAUUCACAAUCCAUAACCUCUCAGGUAGACAAGACCUCCACUAUCAAAUCCCAUCAUGAAGACAUCCAAACCAAAUUAAACUCCAUCAAAUCCUUAAAGCAAGAAAACCAAGACAUCGACAGCAGAAUAAGUAAUAUCAAGAAAGAUCACAUCACAGCAACUACAAGCAAAUGUAACAACCUUAAAAAAUCCCACAACAACAAAGGACACGUUUUAAAGCAACACCUUUUCAAAUUAAAAUCCAACCUCAACCUAUUCAUCCAUUCCCUAGAUAACAGAUUAACCCUCGCUAACCACAAUAUAGCCAACCUCCUUGCUCAUGAAAUAGCCAACCAACAAAUCAUCCUUAAUCCAAGAACAACUUAAGUUAAAAACAACGAAUAAAAUCCACAAUUUCACUACCAUCAACCUACCCGAAGACGUAACAGAAAUUCUAAACAAAGGAACCAACUUCAUACCAACCUCGACAACUCUGAACCAAACUGAAUUAAAAGAAACCAUCUUCUCUGAAACCAACGCCACCCUCAUCCAAAUCAUCAACAAACCUGUCACCCCCAAAAACGCAAUUUCAUCCACAACUAAACCCAAACCCACAUCAACAUUUGACAAGAUAAAGCAAAAAAAGAAUGAAAACCCCAUACACAUAUUGGAACAAGAAAAAUGUAAACCAAACUUCAAUACCCACGCCUACGACUGUGUUUAUUCUACAAAUUACUAUGCCCAUUAAUUUUAAAAAUAUCAUACAAACAAACCUCUCUAAUAUCUCCUGCUUCUCUUCCCAGCUUUUACAAAACAACAAAGACAUUAAUGUUACACAAACAGACAAAAACAUGGGAUGGGCACUGCUACCUACUACCUGGUUUACAAACAAAUACAAACGACAACUACAAGAUACACGUACGUACCAACUAAUAGAAAAUUUUAACAUUGAACAACAUAUCAAAGACAGCAACAAACUCAUACUCAACAUGAAAACACGUUUCGCCAAUCUUAUUACCUGUAACAAACAUAAUCUACUAGACCCUUUACAACCCCAGAACACGUACAGUUACCGUACAUGAAACUUUUACCUAAAGUACACAAACUGAUCUCUACAGCCUCUCCUAACAACGUUACAGACUUAACCAGACGACCAAUCAUUACAGCACACUCUUGGACAACCUCAAACGUAUCUAGACUACUUGGCACAGAACUCGACAACAUCAUUUUACAACUCAAAAACCUUUUUAUUUCUAAAAAUAUCAAAUUUCCUUUAAUUUAUAAUUCCUCAGAACUGAUAGACUUUUUUCAAAAACAACACAUUACAGACAUCAACAACUUCCAACUGACCACUUUUGACUUUACCUCUCUCUACACCAAAAUAACAUUUCAAAACACUAUCAAUGCUAUCAUCUCCAGCUGCAAACUUCUUAAAUUUUCUCGUCUACAUCGUGACUUCCUACUCAACCUCAACAAUUUUAUUAACAAACGCAACUAUUUUUCUGUUGGACAAGACAUCUACAGACAAACACAAGGAGUUGCUAUGGGCAGCUAUCAUAGCAGACAAAUUGCAGACCUUGUACUUUUACUUAGUGAACUCAACUAACACUAACGGACUCUCCCUCUUUUCUAGAUACAUCGAUGACGACUUCAUGCUUACAAACAAUACACUAACCUUUAUUUCUUUCUAUAAUGCACAAAUUCCCAUAACAUUCGCUUCAAAUCAGCAUUCUGUUAACUAUCUUGAUCUUACAAUUUCUUUAAAUCACCACUCCAUCCUACAUAACAAAAUUCAUUAUCAAGUAUAUCAAAAACCAAACCACAAAUACAUGUACCCUCAUUUCUUCUCUAAUCAUCCCCAACACAUCUUUGCAGGCAUUAUUAAGACAGAAACUAUACGCUACAGCAGACUGUCUUCUACUAUCACCGACUACAACUACAUAUGAAAACUUCUUACCUUACGACUUAAAUCUUUAGGCUACCCAACAUUAUUGAUCCAACAAAACUCCUUUCCUUUUCUCACCCACAACCUUCACAAACAUAGAACGAACAGCUCAAUCAAACAGAAACUUCGAA